UGUGUGUACCGGAAGAGGUAUCCCCGGAAUACCCGAUCCACCUUCAACGUAGAAGGAAAAUGCCGAACACACGCGCUCCUCAAAGACUUAACAUUGAGCCAAUCCGAGGGUGCAAAGGAUACUCCGCAUCAGGCUGGCAACAUUGGUUUACAUAAAUUCUUAUUGUAUUUAUUAUAUGUAAAUGCGGUAACCGAUAUAAUUGUACACCCGGAGAUACUCUUCGAGUGCAUAAUAUGUGAUAUUAAAAAUAUGAGGUUUGUUAUAAAUAAAACGACACCGGAUUUAUAUGUAAAACAGUCGAGCUGUAUAAACAGUAAAAAAAAUUAUUACA
This 331-nucleotide long non-coding RNA is filed under the name Polistes fuscatus (common paper wasp). Its description in RNAcentral is "uncharacterized LOC122524570". Lineage: Eukaryota; Metazoa; Arthropoda; Insecta; Hymenoptera; Vespidae. The record is from RNAcentral.